AGAGUUUGAUCCUGGCUCAGAAUCAACGCUGGCGGCGUGCCUAACACAUGCAAGUCGAACGAGAAAGUGGAGCAAUCCAUGAGUAAAGUGGCGCACGGGUGAGUAACACGUGACUAACCUACCUUUUAGUGGGGGAUAACCUAGGGAAACCUGGGCUAAUACCGCAUAACACUUACGAGUCAAAGCAGCAAUGCGCUGAAAGAGGGGGUCGCGGCCGAUUAGCUAGUUGGCGGGGUAAUGGCCCACCAAGGCAGUGAUCGGUAUCCGGCCUGAGAGGGCGCACGGACACACUGGAACUGAAACACGGUCCAGACUCCUACGGGAGGCAGCAGUGGGGAAUUUUGCGCAAUGGGGGAAACCCUGACGCAGCAACGCCGCGUGGAGGAUGAAGUCCCUUGGGACGUAAACUCCUUUCGAUCGGGACGAUAAUGACGGUACCGGAAGAAGAAGCCCCGGCUAACUUCGUGCCAGCAGCCGCGGUAAUACGAGGGGGGCAAGCGUUGUUCGGAAUUAUUGGGCGUAAAGGGUGCGUAGGUGGUUCGGCAAGUCUUGUGUGAAAUCUUCAGGCUCAACUUGAAGUCUGCACAAGAAACUGCCGGGCUUGAGUAUGGGAGAGGUGAGUGGAAUUUCCGGUGUAGCGGUGAAAUGCGUAGAUAUCGGAAGGAACACCUGUGGCGAAAGCGGCUCACUGGACCAUUACUGACACUGAGGCACGAAAGCUAGGGGAGCAAACAGGAUUAGAUACCCUGGUAGUCC
RNAcentral lists this ribosomal RNA (756 nucleotides) under uncultured bacterium. RNAcentral describes it as "bacterial SSU rRNA". It matches the Rfam family "Bacterial small subunit ribosomal RNA", at positions 8 to 796 of the family's 1533-position model. The record is from RNAcentral.